Molecule: ribosomal RNA, 459 nt
Filed under: uncultured bacterium
Lineage: Bacteria
Description: partial 16S ribosomal RNA
Rfam family: Bacterial small subunit ribosomal RNA
Source: RNAcentral
CCUACGGGUGGCAGCAGUGAGGAAUAUUGGUCAAUGGGCGGGAGCCUGAACCAGCCAAGUCGCGUGAGGGAUGACGGCCCUAUGGGUUGUAAACCUCUUUUGCAGGGGAGAAAAGUGCCGCACGUGUGCGGUUUGGAGAGUACCUGAAGAAAAAGCAUCGGAAAACUCCGUGCCAGCCGCCGCGGUACUACGGGGGAGGCGAGCGUUAUUCGGAUUGAUUGGGUUAAAAGGGUGCGUAGGCGGAAGGCCAAGUCAGCGGUAAAAUCGCGGGGCGAAACCUCGCUCCGGCGUUGAAACUGGCGUUCUUGAGUGGGCGAGAGGUAUGCGGAAUGCGUGGUGUAGCGGUGAAAUGCAUAGAUAUCACGCAGAACUCCGAUUGCGAAGGCAGCAUACCGGCGCCCAACUGACGCUGAAGCACGAAAGCGUGGGUAUCGAACAGGAUUAGAUACCCGGGUAGUC